RNAcentral lists this ribosomal RNA (886 nucleotides) under Inocybaceae sp. RNAcentral describes it as "partial large subunit ribosomal RNA". It matches the Rfam family "Eukaryotic large subunit ribosomal RNA", at positions 91 to 964 of the family's 3401-position model. Lineage: Eukaryota; Fungi; Basidiomycota; Agaricomycetes; Agaricales; Inocybaceae. The record is from RNAcentral.
GAGUGAAGCGGGAAAAGCUCAAAUUUGAAAUCUGGCAGUUCUUGACUGUCCGAGUUGUAAACUAGAGAAGUGUUACCUGUGCUGGACCAUGUACAAGUCUCCUGGAAUGGAGCAUCAUAGAGGGUGAGAAUCCCGUCUUUGACAUGGACUACCUGUGCGUUAUGGUGCACUCUCAAAGAGUCGAGUUGUUUGGGAAUGCAGCUCAAAAUGGGUGGUAAAUGCCAUCUAAAGCUAAAUAUUGGCGAGAGACCGAUAGCGAACAAGUACCGUGAGGGAAAGAUGAAAAGAACUUUGGAAAGAGAGUUAAACAGUACGUGAAAUUGCUGAAAGGGAAACGCUUGAAGUCAGUCACAUUGGCUAGAAAUCAGCCUUGCUUUUGCUUGGUGUAUUUUCUAGUUGAUGGGUCAGCAUCAAUUUUGACCAUUGGAUAAAGUCUUUGGGAAUGUAGCAUCUUUGGAUGUGUUAUAGCCUAUUGUCAUAUACAGUGGUUGGAAUUGAGGAACUCAGCACGCCGCAAGGCCGGGUUUCGACCACGUUCGUGCUUAGGAUGCUGGCAUAAUGGCUUUAAUCGACCCGUCUUGAAACACGGACCAAGGAGUCUAACAUGCCUGCGAGUGUUUGGGUGGAAAACCCAUGCGCGUAAUGAAAGUGAAAGUUGAGAUCCCUGUAAAGGGGAGCAUUGACGCCCAGACCAGAACUUUUGGGACGGAUCUGCGGUAGAGCAUGUAUGUUGGGACCCGAAAGAUGGUGAACUAUGCCUGAAUAGGGUGAAGCCAGAGGAAACUCUGGUGGAGGCUCGUAGCGAUUCUGACGUGCAAAUCGAUCGUCAAAUUUGGGUAUAGGGGCGAAAGACUAAUCGAACCAUCUAGUAGCUGGUUCCUGCCGA